RNAcentral lists this ribosomal RNA (323 nucleotides) under uncultured Pseudomonadota bacterium. Its description in RNAcentral is "bacterial SSU rRNA". It matches the Rfam family "Bacterial small subunit ribosomal RNA", at positions 30 to 351 of the family's 1533-position model. Lineage: Bacteria; Pseudomonadati; Pseudomonadota. The record is from RNAcentral.
AUUGAACGCUGGCGGCAUGCCUUACACAUGCAAGUCGAACGGCAGCAUGGGUGCUUGCACCUGAUGGCGAGUGGCGAACGGGUGAGUAAUAUAUCGGAACAUGCCCUGAAGUGGGGGAUAACGUAGCGAAAGUUACGCUAAUACCGCAUAUUCUGUGAGCAGGAAAGCAGGGGAUCGCAAGACCUUGUGCUUUAGGAGUGGCCGAUAUCGGAUUAGCUAGUUGGUGAGGUAAAGGCUCACCAAGGCGACGAUCCGUAGCGGGUCUGAGAGGAUGAUCCGCCACACUGGGACUGAGACACGGCCCAGACUCCUACGGGAGGCAG